RNAcentral lists this ribosomal RNA (279 nucleotides) under uncultured bacterium. RNAcentral describes it as "partial 16S ribosomal RNA". It matches the Rfam family "Bacterial small subunit ribosomal RNA", at positions 506 to 784 of the family's 1533-position model. The record is from RNAcentral.
UGCCAGCCGCCGCGGUAAUACGGAAGGUGCAAGCGUUGUUCGGAAUUAUUGGGCGUAAAGCGCGUGUAGGCGGUUCGUUAAGUCUGGUGUGAAAGCCCCGAGCUCAACUCGGGAAUUGCAUUCGAUACUGCUUGGCUAGAGUGUGGUAGAGGAAAGCGGAAUUCCGGGUGUAGCGGUGAAAUGCGUAGAUAUCCGGAGGAACACCAGUGGCGAAGGCGGCUUUCUGGAUCAACACUGACACUGAGGCGCGAAAGCGUGGGGAGCAAACAGGAUUAGAUA